GGGAAAUCGGUGUGCAUACAAACUGGGAACAGAACCUGGACUCCCGAGGCCGGUCCUGGUUCUCAGAGUGAGGAUGUGCCGUCACCACGGAGCCAAGCAUGAAAUUUUGGGUCCCUCUCUGCCUCAGCAUAAUUCGUUCUCUGAAGGGACCACUAGCACAGCUGAGAAGUGCUUUAAGUCUGAGCACCACCGCGGAGACAAAGUACGGCUGGAGGACGAGUAUCAGUGCUGAGUCUGAUCUGCACACACUGAAGAUGCCCCCCAGGUCAUCUGGGUAUGAAACAGCUGCAAUCCGCAACGGCCCUGGGAGAAACCACUGAAGAGUGCCCUUCAGCAUCCACAGCAAGAAAAUCAGGCCACAGAAAGCUGUAAAGAGCCUUGGGAUGGAGACUGAGAAGAGGCAGGACCACCUCUGACAUUUACGUCAGUAGUGAGAAUCAGGUGGACUGAUGAAACCUCUAGUAAACCAAAGGCACCCUACACCUACGAUAGUUGUUAAGAUGUGCACAGACGUAGGAUUGACCCACAUCAAACCAUCAGAGGAAGCAUGCAGAGAUGCAGCAUGCACAUGACUCUCUAGGCCUCAGUUUCCUCACUAGUAAAAGAGACAACUUUAAU
This 618-nucleotide long non-coding RNA is filed under the name Homo sapiens (human). RNAcentral's name for it is "non-protein coding lnc-SMYD3-7:1". Lineage: Eukaryota; Metazoa; Chordata; Mammalia; Primates; Hominidae. The record is from RNAcentral.